Molecule: long non-coding RNA, 822 nt
Filed under: Homo sapiens (human)
Lineage: Eukaryota; Metazoa; Chordata; Mammalia; Primates; Hominidae
Description: HSALNT0098713
Source: RNAcentral
CUGCCACACCCUGCCACUGCAGGCCGCACCCUCAACUCCCAACUGCCAACUUGAAGCCUGAACUACCCUUUCCCUGACCAGAGUUCAGGAGGGGAAGAGCUACACCUCCCUGCACAUGAAUCCACUCAUUUGAAAGCACAACUGACCCUGGAUUUAAGCUGGCCAGGACCCUGGGAGAUCUUUGGAAGGAUUUUUGCCUGGGUUUAGGGUUAACUUAAAGAGGUGCCCAGAAGACCAAGUGAGGCAGUUCAUGCCUGUAAUCCCAACACUUUACAAGGCCAAGGCAGAGGAUGGCUUGAGCCCAGGCAACAUGGUGAGACCAGGCUUUAAAAAAACAUAUGAGCCAGGCAUGGUGGUACAUGCCUGUGGUCCCAGCUACUCGAGAGGCUGAGAUGGGAGGAUCCGGUCCGCCCAUGAGGUCAAGGUUGCAGUGAGCCAUGAUUGUGUUACCGCACCCCAGCCUGGACAACAAAGCAAGACUCUGUCUCAAAGCAAAAAAAAAAAAAAAAAAAAAAAAGUGCUCAAAGUGGAUGGAAGUGGACAAAGACUUGGUUGUAGAAGGAGGUAGAAAGGCUCUGGAAUAAGAAAAACUUCACCACAGAGGAGAAUCAGUGAGUUGCAGAAGUUCUAGGAUCUUCUGAGACCUUAAACUGCAGGCUUCAUACCCCUGGACUCAAGAAUCUAGAACUGUCACCUCUAGCUUUAAGUGAGGAGCUAAAGAGGCUACUCAACCUGCUCUAUUCACAGAGGCCACCUUCUCCUACCUCCCUCACAUCCUGUGUUGUUUAUUGGCAGUCCUCCCAGCCUGAGAAGUCUUUCAAG